This 856-nucleotide ribosomal RNA is filed under the name uncultured bacterium. Its description in RNAcentral is "bacterial SSU rRNA". It matches the Rfam family "Bacterial small subunit ribosomal RNA", at positions 98 to 957 of the family's 1533-position model. The record is from RNAcentral.
GCGCACGGGUGCGUAACGCGUAUGCAAUCUACCUUUUACAGAGGGAUAGCCCAGAGAAAUUUGGAUUAAUACCUCAUAGUAUGUGAGAAUCGCAUGGUUUUCAUAUUAAAGUUCCAACGGUNNNNGAUGAGCAUGCGUCCCAUUAGCUAGAUGGUAAGGUAACGGCUUACCAUGGCGACGAUGGGUAGGGGUCCUGAGAGGGAGAUCCCCCACACUGGUACUGAAACACGGACCAGACUCCUACGGGAGGCAGCAGUGAGGAAUAUUGGACAAUGGGCGCAAGCCUGAUCCAGCCAUGCCGCGUGCAGGAUGACGGUCCUAUGGAUUGUAAACUGCUUUUGUACAGGAAGAAACACUCCCUCGUGAGGGGGCUUGACGGUACUGUAAGAAUAAGGAUCGGCUAACUCCGUGCCAGCAGCCGCGGUAAUACGGAGGAUCCAAGCGUUAUCCGGAAUCAUUGGGUUUAAAGGGUCCGUAGGCGGUUUAAUAAGUCAGUGGUGAAAGCCCAUCGCUCAACGGUGGAACGGCCAUUGAUACUGUUAAACUUGAAUUAUUAGGAAGUAACUAGAAUAUGUAGUGUAGCGGUGAAAUGCUUAGAGAUUACAUGGAAUACCAAUUGCGAAGGCAGGUUACUACUAAUGGAUUGACGCUGAUGGACGAAAGCGUGGGUAGCGAACAGGAUUAGAUACCCUGGUAGUCCACGCCGUAAACGAUGGAUACUAGCUGUUGGGAGCAAUCUCAGUGGCUAAGCGAAAGUGAUAAGUAUCCCACCUGGGGAGUACGUUCGCAAGAAUGAAACUCAAAGGAAUUGACGGGGGCCCGCACAAGCGGUGGAGCAUGUGGUUUAAUUCGAUGA